UUCGCCCUUAGAGUUUGAUCCUGGCUCAGGACGAACGCUGGCGGCGUGCCUAACACAUGCAAGUCGAGCGAGUGGAGUUCUUCGGAACAAAGCUAGCGGCGGACGGGUGAGUAACACGUGGGCAACCUGCCUCAUAGAGGGGAAUAGCCUCCCGAAAGGGAGAUUAAUACCGCAUAAGAUUGUAGCUUCGCAUGAAGUAGCAAUUAAAGGAGCAAUCCGCUAUGAGAUGGGCCCGCGGCGCAUUAGCUAGUUGGUGAGGUAACGGCUCACCAAGGCGACGAUGCGUAGCCGACCUGAGAGGGUGAUCGGCCACAUUGGGACUGAGACACGGCCCAGACUCCUACGGGAGGCAGCAGUGGGGAAUAUUGCACAAUGGGGGAAACCCUGAUGCAGCAACGCCGCGUGAGUGAUGACGGCCUUCGGGUUGUAAAGCUCUGUCUUCAGGGACGAUAAUGACGGUACCUGAGGAGGAAGCCACGGCUAACUACGUGCCAGCAGCCGCGGUAAUACGUAGGUGGCGAGCGUUGUCCGGAUUUACUGGGCGUAAAGGGAGCGUAGGCGGACUUUUAAGUGAGAUGUGAAAUACCCGGGCUCAACUUGGGUGCUGCAUUUCAAACUGGAAGUCUAGAGUGCAGGAGAGGAGAAUGGAAUUCCUAGUGUAGCGGUGAAAUGCGUAGAGAUUAGGAAGAACACCAGUGGCGAAGGGCGAUUUCUCUGGACUGUAACGGACGGUGAGGCUUCGAAAGGGUGGGGGAGCAAACAGGAUUAGAUACCCUGGUAGUCCACGCCGUAAACGAUGAAAUACUAGGUGUAGGGGUUGUCAUGAUCUCUGUGCCGCCGCUAACGCAUUAAGUAUUCCGCCUGGGGAGUACGGUCGCAAGAUUAAAACUCAAAGGAAUUGACGGGGGCCCGCACAAGCAGCGGAGCAUGUGGUUUAAUUCGAAGCAACGCGAAGAACCUUACCUAGACUUGACAUCUCCUGCAUUACCCUUAAUCGGGGAAGUUCCUUCGGGGACAGGAAGACAGGUGGUGCAUGGUUGUCGUCAGCUUGUGUCGUGAGAUGUUGGGUUAAGUCCCGCAACGAGCGCAACCCUUAUUGUUAGUUGCUACCAUUUAGUUGAGCACUCUAGCGAGACUGCCCGGGUUAACCGGGAGGAAGGUGGGGAUGACGUCAAAUCAUCAUGCCCCUUAUGUCUAGGGCUACACACGUGCUACAAUGGCAAGUACAAAGAGAAGCAAGACCGCGAGGUGGAGCAAAACUCAAAAACUUGUCUCAGUUCGGAUUGUAGGCUGAAACUCGCCUACAUGAAGCUGGAGUUGCUAGUAAUCGCGAAUCAGCAUGUCGCGGUGAAUACGUUCCCUGGGCCUUGCACUCACCGCCCGUCA
This 1386-nucleotide ribosomal RNA is filed under the name uncultured bacterium. RNAcentral's name for it is "16S ribosomal RNA". It matches the Rfam family "Bacterial small subunit ribosomal RNA". The record is from RNAcentral.